RNAcentral lists this ribosomal RNA (1040 nucleotides) under Enterococcus faecalis. Its description in RNAcentral is "partial 23S ribosomal RNA". It matches the Rfam family "Bacterial large subunit ribosomal RNA", at positions 332 to 1375 of the family's 2925-position model. Lineage: Bacteria; Bacillati; Bacillota; Bacilli; Lactobacillales; Enterococcaceae. The record is from RNAcentral.
GUUGAAGGAUUUGGAAAAUUCCGCUAAAGAGGGUGAAAGCCCCGUAGACGAAAUGCUGACAACACCUAGGAGGAUCCUGAGUACGGCGGAACACGAGAAAUUCCGUCGGAAUCCGCGGGGACCAUCCCGCAAGGCUAAAUACUCCCUAGUGACCGAUAGUGAACCAGUACCGUGAGGGAAAGGUGAAAAGCACCCCGGAAGGGGAGUGAAAUAGAUCCUGAAACCGUGUGCCUACAACAAGUCAAAGCUCGUUAAUGAGUGAUGGCGUGCCUUUUGUAGAAUGAACCGGCGAGUUACGAUUGCAUGCGAGGUUAAGUCGAAGAGACGGAGCCGCAGCGAAAGCGAGUCUGAAUAGGGCGAAUGAGUAUGUAGUCGUAGACCCGAAACCAUGUGAUCUACCCAUGUCCAGGUUGAAGGUGCGGUAAAACGCACUGGAGGACCGAACCCACGUACGUUGAAAAGUGCGGGGAUGAGGUGUGGGUAGCGGAGAAAUUCCAAACGAACUUGGAGAUAGCUGGUUCUCUCCGAAAUAGCUUUAGGGCUAGCCUCGGAAUUGAGAAUGAUGGAGGUAGAGCACUGUUUGGACUAGGGGCCCAUCUCGGGUUACCGAAUUCAGAUAAACUCCGAAUGCCAUUCAUUUAUAUCCGGGAGUCAGACUGCGAGUGAUAAGAUCCGUAGUCGAAAGGGAAACAGCCCAGACCACCAGCUAAGGUCCCAAAAUAUAUGUUAAGUGGAAAAGGAUGUGGGGUUGCACAGACAACUAGGAUGUUGGCUUAGAAGCAGCCACCAUUUAAAGAGUGCGUAAUAGCUCACUAGUCGAGUGACCCUGCGCCGAAAAUGUACCGGGGCUAAACAUAUUACCGAAGCUGUGGACUACACCAUUAGGUGUAGUGGUAGGAGAGCGUUCUAAGGGCGUUGAAGGUCGAUCGUGAGGACGGCUGGAGCGCUUAGAAGUGAGAAUGCCGGUAUGAGUAGCGAAAGACAGGUGAGAAUCCUGUCCACCGUAUGACUAAGGUUUCCUGGGGAAGGCUCGUCCGCCC